RNAcentral lists this long non-coding RNA (206 nucleotides) under Mytilus galloprovincialis (Mediterranean mussel). Lineage: Eukaryota; Metazoa; Mollusca; Bivalvia; Mytilida; Mytilidae. The record is from RNAcentral.
CCUUGACCAUGUCCCCUCCUUUUUAUAAGGUUUUGGGAAUAAAAUAUAUUGGGCAUGCAUAUCAGAUUAAUCAUAAAAAGUAAAUUGAUUGUGUAAGGUUAUGUAAUAUAUAGAGAUCUAUAUUAAAGUAAUGCGGUUACCAAAUCGAAAAUCAUGUUGAAUUUGAAGUGUGUUCUUCUUUUGGGAUUUGAAAAUCCCGCAACAUG